GAGAUUAUGUGUUCUUCCAUCAUCUUCUCGGUUCUUGAGCUCCUCCUUGGCAGGCUGCAGCACACCAUUAUUCAACCAAAAGAUAUACAAUCCACAACAGGCAACUGGCAAAGGAAGUAGUAGGCUUACAUUUUAUGAUCAAAUGCUAUUUAUCUGAGUGUGGAAGUUCAAAAACCAAUAAUCCUUUUUAGAUGAAUGCUCAACUCAAUGCCCUGCAUUAGAAGAGUAGACAUCAGUUUAUUGAAACCCUUUCUGAAGGUUUAUCCGUUGAAUGUGUUUGUCAUAUGAUUCUACCAUUUGAUGUACUAAUUCCCGUCUCCUUCCGUUUUAUCCUCAUUGAGAUGGGGCGAGGGGCUUUGAGACAACCUCCAUCCGUUAUUCAGGGAUCGAUAUUUCAUUGUCCUUGCUUAUCUACCAUAUAAGUCUGAAUCAAGAAAAUGCAGUUAUAAUG
This is a long non-coding RNA of Cucurbita maxima (winter squash), 451 nucleotides long. RefSeq lists it as uncharacterized. The transcript is spliced from 2 exons. NCBI's taxonomy places the organism in Eukaryota, Viridiplantae, Streptophyta, Magnoliopsida, Cucurbitales, Cucurbitaceae. The record is from RefSeq and is a predicted model, not a curated record.